This 253-nucleotide ribosomal RNA is filed under the name uncultured bacterium. RNAcentral's name for it is "partial 16S ribosomal RNA". It matches the Rfam family "Bacterial small subunit ribosomal RNA", at positions 524 to 776 of the family's 1533-position model. The record is from RNAcentral.
UACGUAGGGUGCAAGCGUUAUCCGGAAUUAUUGGGCGUAAAGAGCUCGUAGGCGGUUUUUCGCGUCUGCUGUGAAAACUGGAGGCUCAACCUCCAGCCUGCAGUGGGUACGGGCAAACUAGAGUGCGGUAGGGGAGAUUGGAAUUCCUGGUGUAGCGGUGGAAUGCGCAGAUAUCAGGAGGAACACCGAUGGCGAAGGCAGAUCUCUGGGCCGUAACUGACGCUGAGGAGCGAAAGCAUGGGGAGCGAACAGG